AUGCCGGCGAGUGGCGGACGGGUGAGGAACACAUCGGAAUCUGCCCCGUCGUGGGGGAUAACGUAGGGAAACUUACGCUAAUACCGCAUACGACCCGAGGGUGAAAGCGGGGGACCGCAAGGCCUCGCGCGAUGGGAUGAGCCGAUGUCCGAUUAGCUGGUUGGCGGGGUAAUGGCCCACCAAGGCGACGAUCGGUAGCUGGUCUGAGAGGAUGAUCAGCCACACUGGGACUGAGACACGGCCCAGACUCCUACGGGAGGCAGCAGUGGGGAAUAUUGGACAAUGGGCGCAAGCCUGAUCCAGCCAUGCCGCGUGGGUGAAGAAGGCCUUCGGGUUGUAAAGCCCUUUUGUCCGGGAAGAAAGCGCCCUGGUGAACAGCCGGGGUGGAUGACGGUACCGGAAGAAUAAGCACCGGCUAACUUCGUGCCAGCAGCCGCGGUAAUACGAAGGGUGCAAGCGUUACUCGGAAUUACUGGGCGUAAAGCGUGCGUAGGCGGUUCGUUAAGUCAGAUGUGAAAGCCCCGGGCUCAACCUGGGAAUGGCAUUUGAUACUGGCGGGCUAGAGUACGGUAGAGGGUGGUGGAAUUCCCGGUGUAGCAGUGAAAUGCGUAGAGAUCGGGAGGAACAUCCGUGGCGAAGGCGGCCACCUGGACCAGUACUGACGCUGAGGCACGAAAGCGUGGGGAGCAAACAGGAUUAGAU
RNAcentral lists this ribosomal RNA (702 nucleotides) under Vulcaniibacterium thermophilum. RNAcentral describes it as "bacterial SSU rRNA". It matches the Rfam family "Bacterial small subunit ribosomal RNA", at positions 85 to 783 of the family's 1533-position model. Lineage: Bacteria; Pseudomonadati; Pseudomonadota; Gammaproteobacteria; Lysobacterales; Lysobacteraceae. The record is from RNAcentral.